This is a non-coding RNA of Lolium perenne, 3181 nucleotides long. The record is from RefSeq and is a predicted model, not a curated record. NCBI's taxonomy places the organism in Eukaryota, Viridiplantae, Streptophyta, Magnoliopsida, Poales, Poaceae.
GAGGCCCGCCUGGCCCGAUCGUGCGAGCGCCCCAGCCUAACCCUCUCCCAAUCCUUGCAGCCGCCACCUCCCACCACCGCAUCCCCAUCUCCGUCUCGCCGCGGCCGCCGCGUCCCCAUCUCCGGCUCGUCGCAGCCGCCUCCCUAGCUCUCCACCACAGCCGGCCUCCUCUCCGGCGAGCCGUCAUCGCCCGCGCCCUCUCCUCUUCCCCCUAUAGCGCUCGAGGGGCGGCGCUGGGCCGGAGGUGGAGGAGGUCGGCCGCGAGGUUCCAGGGUGCCGCUGCCACGGUCAAACGACGGGCUGUGUCGUCGGAGAAGGAGCGACCGAGGGCUCGCAACCGGAGGAGCGGCUGGGGGCUGGAAGGAGCAUCCUAGAUCGUUGGGAUGAGCCUCCUCCUGACAUACCAUUGGAGGAGGAGCGGUUGGUGGCCAUCAAGAGGAGCAGCUCUUUGGGAUGAGUCUCUCCCUAUUGUACAGUCGCUGGAAGACGCCCUGGUUGGGCUCGACAUGCAGGUCUCUCUUUCCCUCCCUCUCCCUCUCCCUCCAUCUCUCUCUCACACAAAAUAUCCUUGUCCUUCCAGAAAUUCAGAAGGGGAAAAAGGGGGAGGUUGCAGGGAGAUGAGGGAGACCACAUGGAUUUGCCUCUAGAAGACAUGAAUUACUCGAUUCGGUGACAGUUAGCUUCUAGGGAGAUCUGUGCCUUUUGUUUUUGUUAUUAUAAUGAAUGAAUUGCUUGGAUAUUAUUCAGAUUAUUGCUAAUUAUUUUUCUAUGAAAAUCGAUGUACACUAUAUGCUCUGUAUCUGUAGACCUGAUGGUUCUCAAAUUUGACUUUUGUAUAAUUAGUCUUGAUUUGCAUCCAUGAGUUUACUUUUGAUCUUUCUGUACAAGUACAGGUUUUAAAUCAGUUGAGAAAUAUGUGGUGAAUAUAUGAACCUGGUGGUAUUUAGCAUUUUAGCUCAAAUCUUAGUGCUUGAGCAUUUCUACUGUAAAAUGUAUUCAUAUCCGUUGGAAUAAUUGUGUUUUCGUUCCUGUUUGAGGUUAAGAUUUAAAGAACCUGACUACAUGUUAUGACUAGGUCAUCAAGUGUUGCAAGGCUCGGCUAUUCUGGGACUGAAGUAAUUUCAAGGUUAUGGUAUUUUUUGGUUAAUGCUCAUCACUGAUUGAUUCUGCAUACUUUUGUUUUUAGAUUGUUGGCAUAACAUAUCAGUUGGGGUAUAGUCGUCCAUAACAUGGUUUUCUAUAUUGGUUCCAUUGCACGCGUAGGCAGAACCAAUUUCUGUCCAAUAUAGAAUUGGCGGCGUAGAACAUGGUCACUUUUGAGUUUGGACUAUGGUUGGUCUGCUUAUAUCCCAUAUUCUGGUUCCGGUUAUAUAGGCGGAUAAGAUUGAUGUUCAUUUUCAUUAUUACUUCUGCCUUUUGUUUGGUGUGGUGAAGUAAUCAUCAUUUCAAUAAUAAAAAAAACUGCAAACUUUGUUGUCAACGAGACUUGAGAUACGCUUUUCAUGAUUGUUGCUUUGCAGAUGUUGAGGUGUUACCUCGAAUGUUUGAGUUUGGAUAGCCGGAGAUUCUGAUGCCGGUAGUGGCAACGACCAGCAUUGGUGUUGAUUGCAUGAUUUGUUUUUUACUGUGGUGAUCUAUAGGGGAAUAACUUCAUUCUGUCUAUUCCAGAUCUCACUACCUGAUAAAACUGGUAUUCCAAUUUUCGUAUUGUAUUGCUUAUCUAAAAGAAGAUAGCAAUGCAACCCCUAACAUGGUAAAACGGAGACAGACCCUACAGCCAAGAAGUAGCUCACUACCAUGUAGUGAAUUUGUUGGUAUCCUUUUUCUCUUAUACAUAUAUAUUCUAAAGAAGAUAGCAAAAGUUGCUGCUGUAACUGGAUUUUAUUUCUGUUUUACCUUUGGAUCUAUCGGUAUAUAUGGUGCAGCACUUGGUAGCUAUAUGGCUAUAUUAGAGCUUCUGCUAUUUCUUGACUGCGGCCUUUGGUAUCUAUAUGGCUAUAUUAGAGUUUAAGUUCUUUUUUUCGUAAAGUAAGCUUUGCUACUGUUUUUUUACUAGAAAUCUCCUUGCUAAAAUUUCUCUCAUGCUUCUCUCAUGCUUAAAAGAAUUUUUAUUGCAUAUUGCCAUAUUUUCUGAAUUUGGCUUCUAACUGAAGCGGAAAUUAUAUAACAUUCAAGGAGAAGGAUCAGAGAUGUUUCUCACUACCUGAGUAAUUAAGUAGUACCAUUUUAAAACAAAAAUACAAGUAUUCGUAUGUGUAUUAAUGGACAGUUGUCCUGGCAAUGGGGGUGAUUCGCAACACAAGAAGCCUAGAACAUCGGCUAGAAAAUCUGGCAUGUUCCCUCUUAUUUUGUAAUCUGUGUGGCAUAGGCUGAAUGGCAACACUAGGCAUUUAUAUUUUUUGAUAUAAUUUGUACAUGCAUUUUUCUUGGUUUGAGUGAUGGAGGUGUACAGAAGAACAAGCUAAGAUUAAGAAUGAUGAUAUGCUACUUGAGUGGUGAUGAAAGACCAAGAAGUUUCCAUGACGUCCUGAGCAAAUGAAAGGGAAUGUGUACAGUUGAAUUCUGUCAUGACUAACCACUGUCCCCCGCAAAAAAAAUGACUUACCACUUUCAGAUGGGGCUCAUCUUAUGUCUCCUGGUGCCCGCCGGUUUUUCUUGUAUAAUAGUACCUACCGGCAGGGCUUCUCUUCUUCUGCUUUUGAUUGGGUUUUCCUUGCAGCUACUGCCUCACCAGCGCUCCGGUUAUUUGCCAAACAGAGCAGCUGCCUACAACACAAGUCGCUGCAGAGCGGACGAGGCUCAUGGGCUAUUCUGUGUGCUCAGAAGGCGUGAGCAAAGGCGGAAGGACAUGCCGGUGGCGAUGAAUAUGUGGUGCAAGUCAUGAGCAUUGUAGUGCGCUCAUCUGCAUCCAUUGGUACUCCGACCAGAAUUGAGCAGAGGUGGUGGCAAAAAGGAUGCAACCAGGGGCGUGGCGUGGCGCCAUGCCUAACUUCAUAGUUUCCGUUUCAGUGGUCCAUACACGCUUCUUCUGAAUUUUGUGAGAUUUCGAGUAUGUGUGUGUACCUAUGGGUAAAGGGUGAUAAAAAACAUCUGCUUCAGUUUUGUUUCAAUCAUGAUAAUAUGCUAUCUUUUCAGCUUUUAAGUAUUAUAAAUCCGCGAUCAAUGUAUGAUCUCUUCUACA